Molecule: long non-coding RNA, 532 nt
Organism: Suricata suricatta (meerkat)
Lineage: Eukaryota; Metazoa; Chordata; Mammalia; Carnivora; Herpestidae
Exons: 3
Source: RefSeq, a predicted model, not a curated record
UCAAACAUUUUGGCCUGGUGCUUCCUUCCUCUAAUCCUACUGGCAGGAAAUGCUCUACAUAUCCUUUGAGGUGACCAGACAUAUUUAAAAGUAGUCCCUGGUUAAAAAAGCUCUUUGGCUACUGCAGUUUUCUCCAAAGAGGAGAGCGCUUUCUGCUCAGCACUGCUCCCUCCGAUUGCACUUGAAGCACCGCAAGAGCUCCGCUGAUGAGAAGUAUCAUUGAAUGGAAAUGAAAAAUACUUUCCCCUAUUCCUUCCUACGAAAACUACAAGUCUGGAUGGAACUUCUGGAAUCAUUCUUUCCUCAUAUAAUUUUCAGAAGAUGUGAGACCUAAGGCUGUAAGGACAUGAAAAAGUUUAAGGAUGAAAUUGUUGCAAGAUUGAAUAUAAGAAAAUCGACUUACUGGUAAAUAUCUUUCCUGAGGACAGACCUGCCCAGGGGGUUGUCAGCUUGGGGAGCCAUAGCAACAGAACCAAUCUUCAAAACCAUGGUGUCCUCUCUUGCUGCCUGAGUAACUGUAAUAAAAGAAACA